Molecule: ribosomal RNA, 205 nt
Filed under: Trichuris ovis
Lineage: Eukaryota; Metazoa; Nematoda; Enoplea; Trichinellida; Trichuridae
Description: partial small subunit ribosomal RNA
Source: RNAcentral
UGUCGUCCUAAGCAGGAGUCGUUCCGUCGCUCGUCACCUGUUUGAUCAAGAUCGUCCUGGAUGCUCUUCGGUGAGUGUCCUUGGCGACUUGAACGUUUACUUUGAGAAAAUGGAAGCGCUCAAGGCAGGCCGUAGAGCUUGAACAGUGGUGCAUGGAAUAAUGAAAGAUGGCCUCGGUGCUAUUUUGUUGGUUUACGGCAAUGAA